UACGGAGGGAGCUAGCGUUAUUCGGAAUUACUGGGCGUAAAGCGCACGUAGGCGGCUUUGUAAGUAAGAGGUGAAAGCCCAGAGCUCAACUCUGGAAUUGCCUUUUAGACUGCAUCGCUUGAAUCAUGGAGAGGUCAGUGGAAUUCCGAGUGUAAAGGUGAAAUUCGUAGAUAUUCGGAAGAACACCAGUGGCGAAGGCGGCUGACUGGACAUGUAUUGACGCUGAGGUGCGAAAGCGUGGGGAGCAAACAGG
Molecule: ribosomal RNA, 253 nt
Filed under: uncultured bacterium
Lineage: Bacteria
Description: partial 16S ribosomal RNA
Rfam family: Bacterial small subunit ribosomal RNA
Source: RNAcentral